RNAcentral lists this ribosomal RNA (2774 nucleotides) under Escherichia sp. R1. RNAcentral describes it as "bacterial LSU rRNA". It matches the Rfam family "Bacterial large subunit ribosomal RNA". The record is from RNAcentral. Lineage: Bacteria; Pseudomonadati; Pseudomonadota; Gammaproteobacteria; Enterobacterales; Enterobacteriaceae.
AGCGUACACGGUGGAUGCCCUGGCAGUCAGAGGCGAUGAAGGACGUGCUAAUCUGCGAUAAGCGUCGGUGAGGUGAUAUGAACCGUUAUAACCGGCGAUUUCCGAAUGGGGAAACCCAGUGUGUUUCGACACACUAUCAUUAACUGAAUCCAUAGGUUAAUGAGGCGAACCGGGGGAACUGAAACAUCUAAGUACCCCGAGGAAAAGAAAUCAACCGAGAUUCCCCCAGUAGCGGCGAGCGAACGGGGAGGAGCCCAGAGCCUGAAUCAGUGUGUGUGUUAGUGGAAGCGUCUGGAAAGGCGCGCGAUACAGGGUGACAGCCCCGUACACAAAAAUGCACAUAUUGUGAGCUCGAUGAGUAGGGCGGGACACGUGGUAUCCUGUCUGAAUAUGGGGGGACCAUCCUCCAAGGCUAAAUACUCCUGACUGACCGAUAGUGAACCAGUACCGUGAGGGAAAGGCGAAAAGAACCCCGGCGAGGGGAGUGAAAAAGAACCUGAAACCGUGUACGUACAAGCAGUGGGAGCCUCUUAAUGGGGUGACUGCGUACCUUUUGUAUAAUGGGUCAGCGACUUAUAUUCUGUAGCAAGGUUAACCGAAUAGGGGAGCCGAAGGGAAACCGAGUCUUAACUGGGCGUUAAGUUGCAGGGUAUAGACCCGAAACCCGGUGAUCUAGCCAUGGGCAGGUUGAAGGUUGGGUAACACUAACUGGAGGACCGAACCGACUAAUGUUGAAAAAUUAGCGGAUGACUUGUGGCUGGGGGUGAAAGGCCAAUCAAACCGGGAGAUAGCUGGUUCUCCCCGAAAGCUAUUUAGGUAGCGCCUCGUGAAUUCAUCUCCGGGGGUAGAGCACUGUUUCGGCAAGGGGGUCAUCCCGACUUACCAACCCGAUGCAAACUGCGAAUACCGGAGAAUGUUAUCACGGGAGACACACGGCGGGUGCUAACGUCCGUCGUGAAGAGGGAAACAACCCAGACCGCCAGCUAAGGUCCCAAAGUCAUGGUUAAGUGGGAAACGAUGUGGGAAGGCCCAGACAGCCAGGAUGUUGGCUUAGAAGCAGCCAUCAUUUAAAGAAAGCGUAAUAGCUCACUGGUCGAGUCGGCCUGCGCGGAAGAUGUAACGGGGCUAAACCAUGCACCGAAGCUGCGGCAGCGACGCUUAUGCGUUGUUGGGUAGGGGAGCGUUCUGUAAGCCUGUGAAGGUGUGCUGUGAGGCAUGCUGGAGGUAUCAGAAGUGCGAAUGCUGACAUAAGUAACGAUAAAGCGGGUGAAAAGCCCGCUCGCCGGAAGACCAAGGGUUCCUGUCCAACGUUAAUCGGGGCAGGGUGAGUCGACCCCUAAGGCGAGGCCGAAAGGCGUAGUCGAUGGGAAACAGGUUAAUAUUCCUGUACUUGGUGUUACUGCGAAGGGGGGACGGAGAAGGCUAUGUUGGCCGGGCGACGGUUGUCCCGGUUUAAGCGUGUAGGCUGGUUUUCCAGGCAAAUCCGGAAAACCAAGGCUGAGGCGUGAUGACGAGGCACUACGGUGCUGAAGCGACAAAUGCCCUGCUUCCAGGAAAAGCCUCUAAGCAUCAGGUAACAUCAAAUCGUACCCCAAACCGACACAGGUGGUCAGGUAGAGAAUACCAAGGCGCUUGAGAGAACUCGGGUGAAGGAACUAGGCAAAAUGGUGCCGUAACUUCGGGAGAAGGCACGCUGAUAUGUAGGUGAAGCGACUUGCUCGUGGAGCUGAAAUCAGUCGAAGAUACCAGCUGGCUGCAACUGUUUAUUAAAAACACAGCACUGUGCAAACACGAAAGUGGACGUAUACGGUGUGACGCCUGCCCGGUGCCGGAAGGUUAAUUGAUGGGGUUAGCGGUAACGCGAAGCUCUUGAUCGAAGCCCCGGUAAACGGCGGCCGUAACUAUAACGGUCCUAAGGUAGCGAAAUUCCUUGUCGGGUAAGUUCCGACCUGCACGAAUGGCGUAAUGAUGGCCAGGCUGUCUCCACCCGAGACUCAGUGAAAUUGAACUCGCUGUGAAGAUGCAGUGUACCCGCGGCAAGACGGAAAGACCCCGUGAACCUUUACUAUAGCUUGACACUGAACAUUGAGCCUUGAUGUGUAGGAUAGGUGGGAGGCUUUGAAGUGUGGACGCCAGUCUGCAUGGAGCCGACCUUGAAAUACCACCCUUUAAUGUUUGAUGUUCUAACGUGGGCCCCUAAUCGGGGUUGCGGACAGUGUCUGGUGGGUAGUUUGACUGGGGCGGUCUCCUCCUAAAGAGUAACGGAGGAGCACGAAGGUUGGCUAAUCCUGGUCGGACAUCAGGAGGUUAGUGCAAUGGCAUAAGCCAGCUUGACUGCGAGCGUGACGGCGCGAGCAGGUGCGAAAGCAGGUCAUAGUGAUCCGGUGGUUCUGAAUGGAAGGGCCAUCGCUCAACGGAUAAAAGGUACUCCGGGGAUAACAGGCUGAUACCGCCCAAGAGUUCAUAUCGACGGCGGUGUUUGGCACCUCGAUGUCGGCUCAUCACAUCCUGGGGCUGAAGUAGGUCCCAAGGGUAUGGCUGUUCGCCAUUUAAAGUGGUACGCGAGCUGGGUUUAGAACGUCGUGAGACAGUUCGGUCCCUAUCUGCCGUGGGCGCUGGAGAACUGAGGGGGGCUGCUCCUAGUACGAGAGGACCGGAGUGGACGCAUCACUGGUGUUCGGGUUGUCAUGCCAAUGGCACUGCCCGGUAGCUAAAUGCGGAAGAGAUAAGUGCUGAAAGCAUCUAAGCACGAAACUUGCCCCGAGAUGAGUUCU